Ribosomal RNA from Fukomys damarensis (Damara mole-rat), 118 nucleotides. Lineage: Eukaryota; Metazoa; Chordata; Mammalia; Rodentia; Bathyergidae. The record is from Ensembl.
CCAUCUGGCCAUACCACCCUGAAUGUGCUCAAUCUUGUCUGAUUUAGGAAGCUAAGCAGAGUUGGGCCUGGUUAGUACUUGGAUGGGAGUAAUUUAAAACAUCACAGAUCCACAUAGC